GGCGCAGUAGAGUAAGGCAGUAGAGCGCAGUAGAGUAAGACAGUAGAGCGCAGUAGAGUAAGACAGUAGAGCGCAGUAGAGUAAGGCAGUAGAGCGCAGUAGAGUAAGGCAGUAGAGCGCAGUAGAGUAAGGCAGUAGAGCGCAGUAGAGUAAGGCAGUAGAGCGCAGUAGAGUAAGGCAGUAGAGCGCAGUAGAGUAAGACAGUAGAGCGCAGUAGAGUAAGACAGUAGAGAGCAGUAGAGUAAGACAGUAGAGUAAGGCAGUAGAGUAAGGCAGUAG
Molecule: long non-coding RNA, 279 nt
Organism: Dicentrarchus labrax (European seabass)
Lineage: Eukaryota; Metazoa; Chordata; Actinopteri; Moronidae
Exons: 3
Source: RefSeq, a predicted model, not a curated record